Molecule: non-coding RNA, 27 nt
Filed under: Cricetulus griseus (Chinese hamster)
Lineage: Eukaryota; Metazoa; Chordata; Mammalia; Rodentia; Cricetidae
Source: RNAcentral
UAGACUAAACUGGCCUCAUGCACAGAG